RNAcentral lists this ribosomal RNA (1372 nucleotides) under uncultured bacterium. RNAcentral describes it as "bacterial SSU rRNA". It matches the Rfam family "Bacterial small subunit ribosomal RNA", at positions 28 to 1381 of the family's 1533-position model. The record is from RNAcentral.
GAUGAACGCUGGCGGCGUGCCUAAUACAUGCAAGUCGAGCGAACGGACGAGAAGCUUGCUUCUCUGAUGUUAGCGGCGGACGGGUGAGUAACACGUGGAUAACCUACCUAUAAGACUGGGAUAACUUCGGGAAACCGGAGCUAAUACCGGAUAAUAUUUUGAACCGCAUGGUUCAAAAGUGAAAGACGGUCUUGCUGUCACUUAUAGAUGGAUCCGCGCUGCAUUAGCUAGUUGGUAAGGUAACGGCUUACCAAGGCAACGAUGCAUAGCCGACCUGAGAGGGUGAUCGGCCACACUGGAACUGAGACACGGUCCAGACUCCUACGGGAGGCAGCAGUAGGGAAUCUUCCGCAAUGGGCGAAAGCCUGACGGAGCAACGCCGCGUGAGUGAUGAAGGUCUUCGGAUCGUAAAACUCUGUUAUUAGGGAAGAACAUAUGUGUAAGUAACUGUGCACAUCUUGACGGUACCUAAUCAGAAAGCCACGGCUAACUACGUGCCAGCAGCCGCGGUAAUACGUAGGUGGCAAGCGUUAUCCGGAAUUAUUGGGCGUAAAGCGCGCGUAGACGGUUUUUUAAGUCUGAUGUGAAAGCCCACGGCUCAACCGUGGAGGGUCAUUGGAAACUGGAAAACUUGAGUGCAGAAGAGGAAAGUGGAAUUCCAUGUGUAGCGGUGAAAUGCGCAGAGAUAUGGAGGAACACCAGUGGCGAAGGCGACUUUCUGGUCUGUAACUGACGCUGAUGUGCGAAAGCGUGGGGAUCAAACAGGAUUAGAUACCCUGGUAGUCCACGCCGUAAACGAUGAGUGCUAAGUGUUAGGGGGUUUCCGCCCCUUAGUGCUGCAGCUAACGCAUUAAGCACUCCGCCUGGGGAGUACGACCGCAAGGUUGAAACUCAAAGGAAUUGACGGGGACCCGCACAAGCGGUGGAGCAUGUGGUUUAAUUCGAAGCAACGCGAAGAACCUUACCAAAUCUUGACAUCCUUUGACAACUCUAGAGAUAGAGCUUUCCCCUUCGGGGGACAAAGUGACAGGUGGUGCAUGGUUGUCGUCAGCUCGUGUCGUGAGAUGUUGGGUUAAGUCCCGCAACGAGCGCAACCCUUAAGCUUAGUUGCCAUCAUUAAGUUGGGCACUCUAAGUUGACUGCCGGUGACAAACCGGAGGAAGGUGGGGAUGACGUCAAAUCAUCAUGCCCCUUAUGAUUUGGGCUACACACGUGCUACAAUGGACAAUACAAAGGGCAGCGAAACCGCGAGGUCAAGCAAAUCCCAUAAAGUUGUUCUCAGUUCGGAUUGUAGUCUGCAACUCGACUACAUGAAGCUGGAAUCGCUAGUAAUCGUAGAUCAGCAUGCUACGGUGAAUACGUUCCCGGGUCU